This 264-nucleotide ribosomal RNA is filed under the name uncultured Pseudomonas sp. Its description in RNAcentral is "partial 16S ribosomal RNA". It matches the Rfam family "Bacterial small subunit ribosomal RNA", at positions 1121 to 1382 of the family's 1533-position model. The record is from RNAcentral. Lineage: Bacteria; Pseudomonadati; Pseudomonadota; Gammaproteobacteria; Pseudomonadales; Pseudomonadaceae.
GCACGUUAUGGUGGGCGACUCUAAGGAGACUGCCGGUGACAAACCGGAGGAAGGUGGGGAGUGACGUCAAGUCAUCAUGGCCCUUACGGCCUGGGCUACACACGUGCUACAAUGGUCGGUACAAAGGGUUGCCAAGCCGCGAGGUGGAGCUAAUCCCAUAAAACCGAUCGUAGUCCGGAUCGCAGUCUGCAACUCGACUGCGUGAAGUCGGAAUCGCUAGUAAUCGUGAAUCAGAAUGUCACGGUGAAUACGUUCCCGGGCCUU